AGAGUUUGAUCCUGGUUAGAAGGAACGCUGGCGGCGGGUUUAGGCAUGCAAGGCGCAUCAUGAAAGCCGCAAGGUGAGGUAAAGGGCGAAGGGUGACCGCUAGUAGCUGACAUAUCCUUUGGACGCGGAUAAUUUCCCGAAAGGGAUUGUAUUUACCGAUGAGACCACGGCCUUCACGGAGGCAGGGGUCAAAAGCUGGGGAUCCUUCGGGACCUGGCGGCCAGAGGAGUGGGCGACCUCCGAUUAGCUAGUUGGCGGGGUAACGGCCCACCAAGGCGAUGAUCGGUAGCCGGGCUGAGAGGCUGUCCGGCCACACGGGCACUGAGACACUGGCCCGACUCCUACGGGAGGCUGCAGUCGCGAAUUUUUCUCAAUGGGCGCAAGCCUGAAGAAGCCAUGCCGCGUGCGGGACGAAGGCCCUCUGGGUUGUAAACCGCUGUCAGGGAAGGGGAAACGCUGCGCAUUAAUCGUGCGUAGUUUGACUGCUUUCCAAAGGAAGCCCCGGCAAAACAUGUGCCAGCAGCCGCGGUAAUACAUGUGGGGCAAGCGUUGUUCGGAAUCACUGGGCAUAAAGGGUGCGUAGGCGGUAAUGUACGUCCGGGGUGAAAACCCAUGGCCCAACCAUGGAUCGGCCUUGGAUACGGCAUUACUUGAGUGCGUGAGGGGUGAUCGGAACGCGUGGUGUAGCGGUGAAAUGCGUAGAUAUCACGCGGAAAGGCCAACGGCGAAAGCAGAUCACUGGCACGCAACUGACGCCUGAGUGCACGAAAGCGUGGGGGACCAAACCAGGAUUAGAUACCCUGGUAGUCCACGCCG
RNAcentral lists this ribosomal RNA (816 nucleotides) under uncultured bacterium. RNAcentral's name for it is "bacterial SSU rRNA". It matches the Rfam family "Bacterial small subunit ribosomal RNA", at positions 8 to 802 of the family's 1533-position model. The record is from RNAcentral.